UACGAAGGGGGCUAGCGUUGCUCGGAAUCACUGGGCGUAAAGGGCGCGUAGGCGGCCGGCCAAGUCGGGGGUGAAAGCCUGUGGCUCAACCACAGAAUGGCCCUCGAUACUGGACGGCUCGAGACCGGAAGAGGUUGGUGGAAUUGCGAGCGUAGAGGUGAAAUUCGUAGAUAUUCGCAAGAACACCAGUGGCGAAGGCGGCUCACUGGCCCGGUACUGACGCUGAGGUGCGAAAGCGUGGGGAGCAAACAGG
RNAcentral lists this ribosomal RNA (253 nucleotides) under uncultured bacterium. RNAcentral describes it as "partial 16S ribosomal RNA". It matches the Rfam family "Bacterial small subunit ribosomal RNA", at positions 524 to 776 of the family's 1533-position model. The record is from RNAcentral.